RNAcentral lists this unclassified non-coding RNA (365 nucleotides) under Hevea brasiliensis (rubber tree). Lineage: Eukaryota; Viridiplantae; Streptophyta; Magnoliopsida; Malpighiales; Euphorbiaceae. The record is from RNAcentral.
CACCAAAAUUAGUGAUCUUUAGGGAAAUAUGAUCCAUUGAAUUGCUAAGGAACUCUUUACUGUGUUGAAAGCUAGAAACCAAUCCCACCAAAUUCACAAAAAAAGAAAGUCAAUCUUCUCUCUUUUGUUGUUUUAGGGCACAAGAGAGGCUCAGGCCUCAAAGGGCAAAUACAAGAUUACAAGAAAAAUCCAGUGACAUGUCAAACAAGUAUAAUGGACAAUAAAGCAGAUAAUGCAUAAAUGUGAAAGAUUCAUAUGCUUCUGUAAACUAAUGUAUGAAUGAAAUGAAAGGGAAAAGGGAGAGAGUAGUGAAUUGAAGAGAAUAGUAAGUCAGCAUUAACUAGACCUGGCCAAGGGCCAGUUCA